UUACAUUGUCUGUUUUUGUAUUUUAGAUCACCUCACUUGUCGAUGAUCAGCCAGAUUUUGAAGUCCAUUUGCCAAAUCAGCAAUUCAAUAAUUUCUACAACAAAACAAAAAUCCAGAAGAUGAUAGUUUCGAUUAAACGGCAGAUUGAUUUAAACAGUGUAAAGGAUUUGUAUUACACAUCAAGCUACGAUAAAAUUGUUAACAUUCUGGAAGACAGUUUAAUCCACUCUUCAGAUAUUCAAUUCGGAAAAGGAGAUUUAUUAAGCAUUUCGACACAAAUUGAAAUUUUAUUGGAGAGUUUUUGGCAUUUGGAACGUUAUUUGGACUGUCUUGUUUGGGCCGAAAAGUCGUUGAAAUAUGCAGUAGAUCUAUUUGUUUCUAUUCAAAAUGGAAGCUUCUUACGACGAAAUGAUUAUGCAAGGUUAAUAAAUUACGUGUUGCCUUAUAUUCAAGUUUUAAUAGAAAAAUCUGUAGACUGCACAGCUCUUUUCAAAAAUAUGGCACGAUUGAUUCAAAGCAUCCAUAAAUUAUUGACUCAUCUACUUGAUAAUCAACAAGAGAAACAAAUGUUCAAUCAUUGUACAAUAGAGUGUUGGAGAGCUUGGGUUAUCAUAUACUACGUAC
Molecule: long non-coding RNA, 624 nt
Organism: Aedes aegypti (yellow fever mosquito)
Lineage: Eukaryota; Metazoa; Arthropoda; Insecta; Diptera; Culicidae
Exons: 3
Source: RefSeq, a predicted model, not a curated record